AUACGAAGGGGGCUAGCGUUGUUCGGAAUUACUGGGCGUAAAGCGCGCGUAGGCGGACUGGACAGUUAGGGGUGAAAUCCCAGGGCUUAACCCUGGAACUGCCUCUAAUACUGCCAGUCUUGAGUUCGGGAGAGGUGAGUGGAAUUCCUAGUGUAGAGGUGAAAUUCGUAGAUAUUAGGAAGAACACCAGUGGCGAAGGCGGCUCACUGGCCCGAUACUGACGCUGAGGCGCGAAAGCGUGGGGAGCAAACAGGAUUAGAAACCCUAGUAGUCC
This 274-nucleotide ribosomal RNA is filed under the name uncultured bacterium. RNAcentral describes it as "partial 16S ribosomal RNA". It matches the Rfam family "Bacterial small subunit ribosomal RNA", at positions 523 to 796 of the family's 1533-position model. The record is from RNAcentral.